CUGGAUCCGAUUUGGCUCGCAAACUUGAGGGAAGGACACUUGAAGAAGCUUCGUCGCCUGCCCCUGAAAUACAAUGCAGAGGAUCGAGUUCUUGCGGACCAGUUCAUCAAGGUGGUCCAGUUCUGUGUGAAGAACCAUGUCUGGGCAGGUAGCGACUUUUCAAAGAGGAAUUGAAGAUCUCAAGUUCAAUGAAGACCAUGCACUGAUCAAGGGGGAGUUUGUUAAUGCACUUUUGGGUGAUAAGUGCAAGGCUUCCAACAUCAAGGGUCUUUAUUGAACAUUGUCCAAAGUUUAGAAAGAGUUUAUUUGAAGAGCUUCUAGAAGUUUCUAGAAGGUUUUCUAGAAAGAGUUUAUUGGAAUAGUUUCUAGAAGGUUUAUAGAAAGAGUUUAUUUAGACAGAGUUUAUUUAGUCUAGUUCUCUUGUCUGAGUUUGUUUAGUCUUGGUUUGUCUGAGUUUUGUAGCAAGGCUUUGUGCCUUAUGUUUUGUUCGGACUUUCUAUUUGGUGUGGAAAGUCUGAGAUUCACCUUGUAUAUAUACUUUAAUAUGGAAUAGACAAGGUAACGAUUCUGUGUGAAUUUCUGUGCCCUAAUCAUU
This 595-nucleotide long non-coding RNA is filed under the name Helianthus annuus (common sunflower). The record is from RNAcentral. Lineage: Eukaryota; Viridiplantae; Streptophyta; Magnoliopsida; Asterales; Asteraceae.